AGCGACCGCGCGACCGCCCCUGUGCCUGGCUCUCCAUGCCUGGACGAUGCGACCAUAGCAAACGCCUUACGAAUGAAUCGGAUACUCGUGAACAGACAGUAAGUGCUUCGAGAGACGCUGUGCGCACACUUCUCGCUGCCGAAAGCCGUCUCGUCCAGGAUGCAUUGAAGCGGACACACACAGCCUGCAGCGAAGAACAACGCGACGGACAUUGCUCUACUCCACUUGGCAUCCUCUUAGACCCCCUCGUGAGCCUUGGCCGACGCUUGGCAAUGCUGGUUGGCUGCACUCGUAUCUGACGAGCCCGGCGACGUCUUCCUGCAGCGGUAGCCUUGAGUGCCAGCAUCAGCGUAGUUCCAUCCGUGCUGUUUUGCACACGAGCCAGCUCCUCUCCAAGGCCCUUCAGGAUCUCGAGUUGGGGUAUGUAUGUCCAAAUGAUCAGUCAGUCGAAACUUGGCGCUCUGGAGUCACAACUGCAGCCAAAGAGUUAAACCCUAACAAAGAGUUAACCCUUCAUUAGUCGGAUGCUGAA
Molecule: long non-coding RNA, 532 nt
Organism: Rhipicephalus sanguineus (brown dog tick)
Lineage: Eukaryota; Metazoa; Arthropoda; Arachnida; Ixodida; Ixodidae
Exons: 3
Source: RefSeq, a predicted model, not a curated record